AUUUUGAUGGCUGAGAUUUAUAGGCAAUAAAUUGUAAAUUUAUUAACGGGUUAUCCCUCUAAUUU
RNAcentral lists this transfer RNA (65 nucleotides) under Megaustenia imperator imperator. RNAcentral describes it as "tRNA-Tyr". Lineage: Eukaryota; Metazoa; Mollusca; Gastropoda; Stylommatophora; Ariophantidae. The record is from RNAcentral.